GGCUAGCUAGCAAAGGGGUAAGGCAAGGGCCCGCAAAACCAGUGGGCGCGGGUUCAAUGCCCGCCCUCGCCUCCA
RNAcentral lists this transfer RNA (75 nucleotides) under Prosthecobacter vanneervenii. RNAcentral describes it as "tRNA-Cys". The record is from RNAcentral. Lineage: Bacteria; Pseudomonadati; Verrucomicrobiota; Verrucomicrobiia; Verrucomicrobiales; Verrucomicrobiaceae.